This 277-nucleotide ribosomal RNA is filed under the name uncultured Prevotella sp. RNAcentral's name for it is "partial 16S ribosomal RNA". It matches the Rfam family "Bacterial small subunit ribosomal RNA", at positions 79 to 354 of the family's 1533-position model. Lineage: Bacteria; Pseudomonadati; Bacteroidota; Bacteroidia; Bacteroidales; Prevotellaceae. The record is from RNAcentral.
CUUUCCUUGACGACGACUGGCGCACGGGUGAGUAACGCGUAUCCAACCUUCCCAUGACCACGGGAUAACCCGUUGAAAGACGGCCUAAUACCGUAUGACGUCGUUUGCCGACAUCGAAAGACGACCAAAGGUUUGGCGGUGAUGGAUGGGGAUGCGUCUGAUUAGCUUGUUGGCGGGGUAACGGCCCACCAAGGCUACGAUCAGUAGGGGUUCUGAGAGGAAGGUCCCCCACAUUGGAACUGAGACACGGUCCAAACUCCUACGGGAGGCAGCAGGG